AAUCCAAGUUUCGUGAAGUCAUGGUCUUAUUUUUAGCCUCUUCCGGGGUGGGUGGGGGACUAUUUUUCCUCCAUCACAAAGCCGGCGGAGGGUGACGCGGCUGGCGGCGGUGAGUCGUCCGCGGUGUAUAAAUAGGCCGCGCCCGGCCGGGGCGGCAGGCAUUCAGGCAGCCCGCGCAGCGCAGCAGGACAGGCGAGGCCAGGACAGGCGAGGCGAGGCGAGGCGAGGCGAGGCGACGGGAAGGCAGCCGCAGAUAAGUCUCCACUUAAAAAGAGAAAUAAACGUAGCUCUUAACGAACCUAAAUAGCUAAGGAGUCGCUAGGUGUUAAAAAUUCUUAGUUUUACUAAAACUAAAAAGGAUUUUAAUGGAAAAGAUGGCUUUUGAAAGUAAAGAGUGUAGUGUGAGGAAAGCCGUGAGGAGAAAAAAAAAAAGUUGUAUCCGGCGGAGGCUAAGUGGAAGGUGAUCCCCCCGGGUCCAUGUAAAUGUCUCUCAAUAAUUGGAAAGGGGGCCUUAAAGUCCCUCGUUAGAGGAAGACUAAAACCAAGAUGAUCUGGAAGGCUUAGAGGAAGACUAAAACCAAGAUGAUCUGGAAGGCUUAAACGUAGCUUUAAAAAGUACGGCUUGUAGGGAGUAAUUUAUUCGUAGCUGUAGAUAAGAAGGAUAAAAAGGUGGCAGGUGGUUAAAAGCGCCUUCCGUUCAUGGCGGAAAAAACGCUGCGUCAUUUGAAGCCUAGCUAAUAAUCUGAAGAUGCCUUUAGGAAGCUAAGACAGAAGAUGAGUUGGGUGUGGUAGGGUAAAAAAUGGAGAAGAUUAGAAAAUUGAAGUGGAAAAGUUGAAGACAGAAGGUGAAGAAAAGACCUAGAGAAGAUAGGAAAACUAGAAGAUUUUUAAAAAAGAAGUCUAGAAGACACAGCGUUAGGAAAGUAGAAGAUUUUAAAAAAUUUUAAAAAGUCUUUAGAAGAAACAGCCUUAGAAGACAAGGUUUCUUAAAUCUACAAAAUAGGAAGAAACCUAGGAAAACAACUGAGGUAAUUUUAAUCCACAAGAUAGGAAGAAGAAAGAAACCUAGAACAAGUAAGCAGGCAGAAGAAAACUAGAAGAUAGAACAUGAUUGGAAAGGGCUGUCAAGGCGAGGUAUUUCAGAUGAAACAAGCUAAACAUACCUUAUGCAAGCUUUCAAGAUAGGCAAAAAUGAGAAAAUUUAAAGUCAGAGUUUGAUAAAAUUAAACUGAAAAGGAGUAAUAGCAAUUUAAAAGUUCCGUCAGUUUUAACUUUUAAUGGGGCAGUUUAUAAGGCCUAAGGAGGCUAAUGCCUUAUUAAACCAGUUUUAAGCCUCUUUAGAAGAAUAUUUGAAACCAAAAGGCAGUUAGACGUCAAAAAGUUGCUAAAAGGACUGAAGUAAUUUAAGGCAGAAUGCGUUUGGAAGAGCUAGAAGAAUUUAAAAGGCCUUAAGCUCAUUAGCUUUACUUUGGAAGAAGGACUUUCAUAGCAAGUAAAUCUCAAGAUCUGAGUAAUCGGCAGUUUUGCAUUGGACUUUGAGCCCAGGUGGUUUUUAAAAUCUCGAGGACUAGCAGUAACAGCUGACCCAGGUCUACUCAAGUGGAUUCAGUGAACCUAGGAAGACAGGAGCCGCAGACAGGAGUCCAGGAACCAGUGUUUGACGCUAGGACUGAGGAGCCAGCUGCAGUUCGUGGUGAAGGAGCCAGUGCGGUUUGGUGUAGGAAGAAGGAGCGAGCCCUGACGAUCUGGUGGUGAAGCUAGGAAAGCAUGCCAGGAAGGAGGAGCCAGUGCGAUUUGGUGAAGCUAGCUGGAGGCUUGGCCUGUCAACUACCCGGAGGAGGCACGUUGUGGAGAAUAGAUAGUGGAUCCUAGACCAGCAUGAGUGUGCAAGGCUACCGAGAGCGUGUGGUGCUGUCAAGAUACCCCUUGAGGUCGGCCAUGUGUCUGUAACUGGUGUGGUAACUUGUUUGCUUUCGUAAUGUAAUGGGGGAGUUGUGUACUUGAAAAGGGUUUUAUAUGGGUUAGGCCGAUGUCCGGGUGUCGUAGGUUUUUCUUUUUCAGGCUUCUAUUCUCAUACAUCUUGUCUGAAGCUUUUGAGGGCAGACUGCCAAGCCUGGAGGAAUGGUAGAAUGGCAAGUUUUUGUCUUUUUAAACAAAUUUGAGGGAAACCGUGAAUCUCAUAGAACCAACAGAACUUGAACAGAUUUGUAAGCAGUUUUUUAGUUGGGGGUUAUAACAUAACUUUGUGGAUAAUCUGUUCUCUUCCCCCCGUAAUUUUGUAAAUAAGGAGUCUGGGUGUAUAACUUGGUGGAAAGUUAUUUUUGUUGGGGGGGAUGGGGGGGCAAAUAUGUUUUGAGUUCUUUUCCCCUUAGGUCUGUAGAAUCCUAAAGGCAGAUGACUGGAGGUAAAAGAAAAAAAAGAACAAUCCAGUAUCAGGAUAAUGGGAACACCGCAGGUUUACAGUUUCUUUAAACUAGAGCACCAGCCGCUCUGGAGGAGCCUGGUCCAUUGGAGAAAUGGCUGGUAGUUAUUCUUCCCUCCCCCUUUUUUAAGUGCUUAACCCUGUCACCAUGCUCUUUUUACUUGAAUUAUUUGGGGGAUGGUCUUAACAGGGAAGAGAGGGUGGGGGAGAAAAUGUUUUUUCUAAGACUUUCCACAGAUGCUAUAGUACUGUUGACAAAAGUGGGUUAGAGAAGGCGAGUGCUGCUGUGCUGUUGGCACGAACACCUUCAGGGAUUGGAGCUGCCUCUUACCUUCCUUGGAAGAGUUUUCCCAGUUGAAGCUGGAAAAGCACAGUGCAGCUUUACUCAGUCAUCUCAGGAGAACUUCAGGAGCGCUUGACUAGGCCAAAUAUUGAAGUUAAGUUUCCACAUACCAAGUGACUUAAAAUACUCCUAAAGGGGAGGGAGAAAUUUUGGCAAGUAGUUGGCCAAGGCCUGUUUGGGAGUGGGGGGUUGGGUUUAGGUAAUUGUUUAGUUUAUGAUUUCAGAUACUCAUACCAGAAAGCUUAAGUACUUAGAAUGGAAAA
Molecule: long non-coding RNA, 3028 nt
Organism: Perognathus longimembris pacificus (Pacific pocket mouse)
Lineage: Eukaryota; Metazoa; Chordata; Mammalia; Rodentia; Heteromyidae
Exons: 2
Source: RefSeq, a predicted model, not a curated record